AGCUCCAAUAGCGUAUAUUAAAGUUGUUGCAGUUAAAAGCUCGUAGUUGGAUUUCUGGUUGGGGGCAAAGGCGGCAUGAAGUGUCAGCUUGCGUCCCCAGCCAUCCUUCUGUUAACCUGGUAUGGCAUUCUUUUGCUGACCAGCGGCUCAGAUAUUUUACCUUGAGAAAAUUAGAGUGUUUCAGGCAGGCUUGGCCGGGAUACAUUAGCAUGGAAUAAUGGAAUAGGACUCCAGCCUCUUCUGUUGGUCUGAGGGGUUGAAGUAAUGAUUAAUAGGGAUAGUUGGGGGCAUUAGUACUUAACUGUCAGAGGUGAAAUUCUUGGAUUUGUUAAAGACUAACUUAUGCGAAAGCAUUUGCCAAGGAUGUUUUCAUUAAUCAAGAAGAAGUUAGACG
Molecule: ribosomal RNA, 394 nt
Filed under: uncultured eukaryote
Lineage: Eukaryota
Description: SSU rRNA
Rfam family: Eukaryotic small subunit ribosomal RNA
Source: RNAcentral